AUGAACGCUGGCGGCGUGCCUCAUACAUGCAAGUCGCGCGAACAGAUGAGGAGCUUGCUCCUCUGACGUUAGCGGCGGACGGGUGAGUAACACGUGGAUAACCUACCUAUAAGACUGGGAUAACUUCGGGAAACCGGAGCUAAUACCGGAUAAUAUAUUGAACCGCAUGGUUCAAUAGUGAAAGACGGUUUUGCUGUCACUUAUAGAUGGAUCCGCGCCGCAUUAGCUAGUUGGUAAGGUAACGGCUUACCAAGGCAACGAUGCGUAGCCGACCUGAGAGGGGGAUCGCCCACCGUGAAACUGAGACCCGGCCCAGACUCCUACGGGGGGCAGCAGUGGGGAAUCUUCCGAAAUGGGCGAAAGCUUGACGGAGCAACCCCGCGGGAGGGAUGAAGGUCUUCGGAUCGUAAAACUCUGUUAUUAGGGAAAAACAAAUGUGUAAGUAACUAUGCCCGUCUUGACGGUACCUAAGCAAAAAGCCACGGCUAACUACGU
RNAcentral lists this ribosomal RNA (495 nucleotides) under uncultured bacterium. RNAcentral's name for it is "partial 16S ribosomal RNA". It matches the Rfam family "Bacterial small subunit ribosomal RNA", at positions 29 to 506 of the family's 1533-position model. The record is from RNAcentral.